Odontomachus brunneus is the source of this 3326-nucleotide long non-coding RNA. RefSeq lists it as uncharacterized. The record is from RefSeq and is a predicted model, not a curated record. The transcript is spliced from 8 exons. NCBI's taxonomy places the organism in Eukaryota, Metazoa, Arthropoda, Insecta, Hymenoptera, Formicidae.
GUGUGACUCGGGUAAGAUCACUUCAGAUUUUAUGCUUGAUCAACUUCGUUUUGUCUAAAAACUUCGCGUGAGUGCGUAGCGUCGGGCGCGUUGAUAUUCACGGGAUAGUGACAAUCAUGAUGUAUCGCAUCGUAGAGUUGUGUCCGACGUGUCAUCGCCGUUCUUUGUGUUGUGACACCUUGCGUAUUCAACGACGAGAAGUGCAGAUGUACGCCCAGAUGCAAGAGAAUAUCACGUCACGGUGUUGUCGACAAAGUGACGAGAAAACGAUCGAAUCGGGAAGUGAAUAUUUACCGUCAUUUUCUCGCUAUUUUGAUAGUCACGUUGAUAUGCUUUUCUGUUCUGUCUGUAUGUACGCUACUAUCUGCGGUAAUAUUCCGUCGUGAUCUGAUUGCGUGGAUACGACCUUUGUAAUUAUUCUCCAAUUAUGGUCGAAUGUGCGACAAUUAACGGCGAUUAAUCGGAAUUAAUGGGUUAAUAGGGCAUUGUCUCGAUCCUCCAAUCAGAGGCGUCGUUUCGCUAUAGGGUAUUUCCAUGUAACAAUCGAGAUAGCCGAAAAAGACGCCUGCUCUGAAGUUGGCUGCUAGAGUUACGCGUUCCAACGUCCGCCCUUUCCGAUUUGGAAAUUUGCACGUACUGGUCGGCUGCGCAUCGCUCCUCACUUUUUCCGCUGAAUGAACAGAUAGAAACUCACGAGAUGUGUGAAAUCUAUGGUUUGCGUUGUCGUUCGACUUCGUAGUGCAUUGCCGACAAAGCCCGCGGCGAUGAUUGUGUUCGUGAUCCUGGAUCGCAGGGAGUUCGUCGCGGAUCGUGAGGCGCAACGUCCUUCGUGUAGAUUCUUCUUCUCGUAACAUCGCUGCGGAUUCUGCAGCGAAGACUGUUGUUUCAGCUCGUUGAAAAAAAAUACAAGAAUAUUCGACACUAUAUUCGUAGCGUGAAUGAAUUCAGACUGAAUAGAAUAUUCUAGUCGGCCGGCCGGUCGCCUUUUAUUUUCCAAGUUUUUGCUACAAGAAAAGUUUCGUACACACAGAGAAAGAAAGAAAAAAGGAGUGAGAGAGAGGGGGGAGUGUAGUCGGGAGAUAAUCUUUGGACUCAUAAUUCUCAACCUGUUAAGAAAAGUUGUCGUCAUGAUACCUGCGGCCUGAUUGUCGUAACGCCUACUGAAUGAAUAGCUGAAUGAAUAACAGCAAUCUGCCAGCUAAACGCAAUGAGUAUACACAAGGCGCGGUCUUAAUCCAUUGAGAAGAGCUGUCUUUGUCAUUGUGACUUCUACGGCCUUAUUGUCGUCGUAGCUCCUGUUGAUUGAGUCGUCGCAGCAACCUGCCAGCCUGCUCAGUACGCAAAUUGUACGCUCCCUCGUCGAGGAAAGAACCCGACUUCGGUGAGUGUCCCGUAACUCGUGAGAGGACGCGUAGCGACAUUAAUUUCUGAAUAGCGCGACUAGCCCGGGCCAGGAAUCAUUAUGACGCGUGAAAGGUCCAUCGCAAGCGGCAGCAGAAGCAGAGCCAGCGUGUGCACCUUUAUCAGCCGCUUCUCCUCAGCACGACGAGGAGGAGCACGACGACGCCGCCGGUCUACGUUGGAGUAAUCGCGCGUCGACGGGGAUAUUAUUCACCGGUUCGCCCUGUUCUCGUGCGAUACCGUACGAUUGAACGAUUGUACCUAGGGCGAUCGGCCAGGAAUAAUGUGGGCGGUCGCUAUCGCGAUAUCGAUAUCACUCGAUAUAUGCCGAGAGCAAGGAACGUGCGCGCGUGUGCCCGUCGACGACUCUGAAAAUUUGCAGGCGACUCUCCCUUUGUGCCGUGAGCGUCCCGGAGAAAGGGGAGAAAGAGGCGAAGAGCUAGUCCCAGACCCUUCACAAGAGUCCUUCGCCGGCGCCUGCUCGUGACUUCACAUGAGUACAAAAUAUCGUUUAUACGGCGCAAGUGGAUUUCUUGUCCCUCGCAGUUUAUCAGCAACGACGACUGGCGGCUCUAUUUUCUCCGAGAGCGAGAUGGAGAGAAAACGCGCUGUCAUCUUUACGAGUAUUUCGCCAGACAAUGAUACGCAGACGUGUUGGUGCGUUGAUGUGCGGAAGAGACGCGGUAGCGAGUUGCGCUAAGUGUGUCUCUAGUGACACAUCAAUAAAAUAUUGCAUCAGGGAGUGCUCGCGAGAAAGGGAGGUGGCAAGAAGAGAGAAAGAGACACCACAUGUCGAGCGUUGUUCAAAUAAGUAAAUGUCGGGCUAAUAACGGUCGUGCCCGGCGACGGUCAGGAAGCCCACCUGACGGGAUAAUGAUAUAAAUACAAACACAAGCCGUACAUUCCUGCGGAUUCACGCGAUUCUUAAUCCCGACGACCGCCCAAACCAAUCCCUCUCGGAAUCCUUCAUGAUAAUUCAUUGGAUUAAGUUUGUGAUUACUCUAAGCAAGCACGUAAGAAUAUUCUUUCCUAUUUCUCUAUUAUUAUAAAUGUACUUUAUAUAACGGUGUGCGAAUUUGAACAUAUAUGUGAAGUACAAGAUGUAAUAGAGCCUAGACAGGAGAGAGUUUAACGAGAUAUGCGCGAUUCCACGCGAGCAAUUGCAAAGCGAUUUCGUGUAAUUAGCAAAGAAUUUAAAUUGACGAUCACGCGAGUUGCGUUUACUAAGUCUUUCGCUUUAGAUGUUAAACGUUUAACAUUUGAAGCAACAAGGAAAAAGAAGAAACAUAUCAGAGUAAAACAUCUAAUUAUUGACAUCCCCUUUAGUCAUUAACACUCUCGAGAAACCUGGUUAUUCUCGAGACCAAAACGCUUCUGUUCACAGUUUUAGUCGUGAAAAUCUCUUUUGAAAUCAUAGAAUGCAUGUGAGAAAUUUAACUUCAACGCUCUUCGCAAGAAAAGUCGGGUUUUUUCUAAAGUAUCAAUGUGACACUAAGAGAAAAAGACAUAGUAACGACGACUAUGGUGAAAACUAUACGAAUUCUUUAUGUAAAAUUGUAAUGUAUAUAAUUUAAUAAACUAUUUCGUAGUUGAUUGCACACAACUGAAGCAUCAAUAGCAACAAUUACGAAAUAAUUUACUAAACUAUAUACAAUUCUACAUAUAAAACUCGUAUAGUUGUCAUCAUCAUAUUUUUCUCUGAGUGUACACGGAGAUAAUUUUAUAGUGUUUUUCGUAUAAAUUCUUGUUGAUUCGUAAUAUUUUUCUUGUAGCAUAGGAUUGUCGCAGUAGAAUUUGUUUUGCAAAGAAGUAUAGUAAAUUUCAUAAUAAAUCUUGCUAGAAACUAGCAAAUAUUUAAUAGCACUUUCAGUUCUUAAAAUGUAAAUGUAAAUGGUUCUUAAAAUAUAAAAGGAAAGGAAAGGAAA